RNAcentral lists this ribosomal RNA (617 nucleotides) under uncultured bacterium. Its description in RNAcentral is "bacterial SSU rRNA". It matches the Rfam family "Bacterial small subunit ribosomal RNA", at positions 8 to 607 of the family's 1533-position model. The record is from RNAcentral.
AGAGUUUGAUCAUGGCUCAGGAUGAACGCUGGCGGCGUGCCUAAUACAUGCAAGUCGAACGCGCAGCGAGAGGUGCUUGCACCUUUCAAGCGAGUGGCGAACGGGUGAGUAACACGUGGAUAACCUGCCUCAAGGCUGGGGAUAACAUUUGGAAACAGAUGCUAAUACCGAAUAAAACUUAGUAUCGCAUGAUAUAAAGUUAAAAGGCGCUACGGCGUCACCUAGAGAUGGAUCCGCGGUGCAUUAGUUAGUUGGUGGGGUAAAGGCUUACCAAGACAAUGAUGCAUAGCCGAGUUGAGAGACUGAUCGGCCACAUUGGGACUGAGACACGGCCCAAACUCCUACGGGAGGCUGCAGUAGGGAAUCUUCCACAAUGGGCGCAAGCCUGAUGGAGCAACGCCGCGUGUGUGAUGAAGGCUUUCGGGUCGUAAAGCACUGUUGUAUGGGAAGAAAUGCUAAAAUAGGGAAUGAUUUUAGUUUGACGGUACCAUACCAGACAGGGACGGCUAAAUACGUGCCAGCAGCCGCGGUAAUACGUAUGUCCCGAGCGUUAUCCGGAUUUAUUGGGCGUAAAGCGAGCGCACACGGUUGAUUAAGUCUGAUGUGAAAGCGCGGAG